This 395-nucleotide ribosomal RNA is filed under the name uncultured bacterium. RNAcentral's name for it is "partial 16S ribosomal RNA". It matches the Rfam family "Bacterial small subunit ribosomal RNA", at positions 523 to 918 of the family's 1533-position model. The record is from RNAcentral.
AUACAGAGGUGGCGAGCGUUGUUCGGAUUUACUGGGCGUAAAGGGCGCGUAGGCGGCCGGAUGUGUCGGAUGUGAAAUCUCCGGGCUCAACCCGGAAAGUGCGUUCGAAACUGUCCGGCUCGAGUGCGGAAGGGGAGUGCGGAAUGCAGGGUGUAGCGGUGAAAUGCGUUGAUAUCCUGCAGAACACCGGUGGCGAAGGCGGCACUCUGGGACGCAACUGACGCUGAGGCGCGAAAGCGUGGGGAGCAAACAGGAUUAGAUACCCUGGUAGUCCACGCCCUAAACGGUGUACACUUGACGUGGGGGUUUCACCGCCUCCGUGUCGCAGCUAACGCUUUAAGUGUACCGCCUGGGGAGUACGGCCGCAAGGCUAAAACUCAAAUGAAUUGACGGGG